GAUGAACGCUGGCGGCGUGCCUAAUACAUGCAAGUCGAACGGACGGACGAGAAGCUUGCUGCGCUGACGUUAGCCGAGGGGGGGAGUGUAACAUGUGGAUCACCUCCCUAUCAGUGUGGGAUCUCCUCGGGAAAGCGGCGAUAACAGCGGAGAAUAUCUUGAUCCGUAUGGGUGAUAGGAGAAAUACGGCGUUGCUGUAUGUUAUCGAUGGUUCCCAGCUGCAUUAGCUAGUUGGUAAGGUAACGGCUUACGAAGGCAAGCAUGCAUAGCCGACCUGAGAGGGUGAUCGGCCACACUGGAACUGAGACACGGUCCAGACUCCUACGGGAGGCAGCAGUAGGGAAUCUUCCGCAGUGGGCGAAAGCCUGACGGAGCAACGCCGCGUGAGUGAUGAAGGUCUUCGGAUCGUAAAACUCUGUUAUUAGGGAAGAACAGAUGUGUAAGUAACUGUGCACAUCUUGACGGUACCUAAUCAGAAAGCCACGGCUAACUACGUG
Molecule: ribosomal RNA, 497 nt
Filed under: uncultured bacterium
Lineage: Bacteria
Description: partial 16S ribosomal RNA
Rfam family: Bacterial small subunit ribosomal RNA
Source: RNAcentral